CGGCUCUAGCAAGAACAAAGGGAGAAAAGAAAGAACAAACCCUAGGUGGAGAAUUUCAAGAGCAAAAGUGUGGAAAAUCAAGGAAAACAAGUGAAAAAGGUAGGAUUUCUCAAUUUAAACUUGAAAUCUAUUUUCCUUAAGCAUUUCUCCUUAUUUUCCAUGGUUAAAUUUCAUGUUUUGAUGGUGAAUUCAAGGCUAGCCGAAUGGGUAUGGAGAGAGAAUGAUAUUAGAUUGAUUUGAUUUCAAGUUAUGUUAGUGUUUUUAGCUAGUUUACCAUGUCUAGAAGCAAAACAACAAGAAAAGAAUUCAUUUUCCCCAUCACCCAUCAAUGGCUGAACCUACCUUGUAUUGAGUGAGGAUGAAUUUGAUUUUUUAUUUUAAGAGAAUUGGUUAGAAAAUGAUGAAUUAUGGUGUGGAAAAGUAGUAGGAAAAAUCACGGUGUUAAUGCACCAUUAUUGAUCGAAAAUACUAAGAAGAAAAGUGAAGAUGGUUUUGCCAAAUUUUAGGUUAUUUGACUUGUGUUUGGUGAAUUAAGGUAUUGGAAAAGAAAUGGAGCAAUUUGGAGCUAAAUUGGACGCAUUGGCCAAUUAAUCGGGUGAUAAGACGAAUUAGGCCAAUACCGAGUUUAAAUGGUUACCCGUGCAUUUUGCAUUCCAUAUCAUGCAUUAGCAGUCUAAAUUAGUUUAAUUUCGAUUUAGUACCAAUGUAGUAAGUUUCUUGAUUUUGUACUAUGUCAAGGUGGUGAGUCCUCCGAUAAAGGGAAGAAAUUGCAUCCGAAGACCAGUAGUUAGAGUACUUCGAAAAUUCGCACUCUAGAUAUUAUGAGUAACCUUACUAUCGUCUUAAUUAUCUAGAGUGGUUUUUAUCCGAUUUUGUGAUUUUAUGGAAAAUGAGUUUAAUGGUAAAUUUUUAGAAUUUAGAAACAAAAUGUGUUUAAAUAAAAUGAUUUCAUAAAUGGCCUUGAAAUUGAAAGAUGACUUUGAAAC
RNAcentral lists this long non-coding RNA (986 nucleotides) under Theobroma cacao (cacao). Its description in RNAcentral is "long non-coding RNA (TCAC_LNC003914)". The record is from RNAcentral. Lineage: Eukaryota; Viridiplantae; Streptophyta; Magnoliopsida; Malvales; Malvaceae.